UACGGGGGGGGCAAGCGUUGUUCGGAAUUACUGGGCGUAAAGGGCUCGUAGGUGGCCAACUAAGUCAGACGUGAAAUCCCCAGGCUCAACUUGGGAACUGCGUCUGAUACUGGAUGGCUUGAAUUCGGGAGAGGGAUGCAGAAUUCCAGGUGUAGCGGUGAAAUGCGUAGAUAUCUGGAGGAAUACAGGUGGCGAAGGCGGCAUCCUGGACCGAUAUUGACACUGAUGAGCGAAAGCUAGGGGAGCAAACGGG
This 253-nucleotide ribosomal RNA is filed under the name uncultured bacterium. RNAcentral describes it as "partial 16S ribosomal RNA". It matches the Rfam family "Bacterial small subunit ribosomal RNA", at positions 524 to 776 of the family's 1533-position model. The record is from RNAcentral.